GAUGAACGCUGGCGGCGUGCCUAAUACAUGCAAGUCGAGCGAACAGACGAGGAGCUUGCUCCUUUGACGUUAGCGGCGGACGGGUGAGUAACACGUGGAUAACCUACCUAUAAGACUGGGAUAACUUCGGGAAACCGGAGCUAAUACCGGAUAACAUGUUGAACCGCAUGGUUCAACAGUGAAAGACGGUCUUGCUGUCACUUAUAGAUGGAUCCGCGCCGCAUUAGCUAGUUGGUAAGGUAACGGCUUACCGAGGCAACGAUGCGUAGCCGACCUGAGAGGGUGAUCGGCCACACUGGAACUGAGACACGGUCCAGACGCCUACGAGAGGCAGCAGUAGGGAAUCUUCCGCAAUGGGCGAAAGCCUGACGGAGCAACGCCGCGUGAGUGAAGAAGGUCUUCGGAUCGUAAAACUCUGUUAUUAGGGAAGAACAAAUGUGUAAGUAACUAUGCACGUCUUGACGGUACCUAAUCAGAAAGCCACGGCUAACUACGUG
Molecule: ribosomal RNA, 497 nt
Filed under: uncultured bacterium
Lineage: Bacteria
Description: partial 16S ribosomal RNA
Rfam family: Bacterial small subunit ribosomal RNA
Source: RNAcentral